ACUCCUACGGGAGGCAGCAGUGGGAAUAUUGGACAAUGGGGGCAACCCUGAUCCAGCCAUGCCGCGUGUGUGAAGAAGGCCUUUUGGUUGUAAAGCACUUUAAGCAGGGAGGAGAGGCUAAUGGUUAAUACCCAUUAGAUUAGACGUUACCUGCAGAAUAAGCACCGGCUAACUCUGUGCCAGCAGCCGCGGUAAUACAGAGGGUGCGAGCGUUAAUCGGAAUUACUGGGCGUAAAGCGUGCGCAGGCGGUCUGUUAAGCGAGAUGUGAAAGCCCCGGGCUCAACCUGGGAACUGGCAUUUCGAACUGGCAGUACUAGAGUCUUGUAGAGGGGGGUAGAAUUCCAGGUGGUAGCAGGUCGAAAUGCGUAAGAGAUCUGGAGGAAUACCGGUGGCGAAGGCGGCCCCUGGCACAAAGACUAGACGCUCAGGCACGAAAGCGU
Molecule: ribosomal RNA, 441 nt
Filed under: uncultured bacterium
Lineage: Bacteria
Description: bacterial SSU rRNA
Rfam family: Bacterial small subunit ribosomal RNA
Source: RNAcentral